This is a long non-coding RNA of Pseudoliparis swirei, 601 nucleotides long. RefSeq lists it as uncharacterized. The transcript is spliced from 2 exons. Lineage: Eukaryota; Metazoa; Chordata; Actinopteri; Perciformes; Liparidae. The record is from RefSeq and is a predicted model, not a curated record.
CUCCACGCGGCCGACGGGGACGGUUCCGAUGCCUGAGAGAGAAAGUUCAUAAGCGCGCCUUUCAGUCGCCAACUCAGCCACGCCGCCAUCUCAGCCACGCCGCCAUCUUUUGAUCCGUUUGGAUUUCUAUCACAGAGUUUGAAACGUGAAUGCCGUGAACGAAAACAUGGGCGCGGCUCAACUGUAAACUUCUACGAUCCGGUCGGUCGGGUUUCCUCGACGAGGCCUGUCCGGACCUGUGACGAGCCGUCCGGCGCCACUCCCAGUGAUGUUGUUCACAUCAAGAGGACCGUAUCACACCAGUGUUCCCGGUUACCCCGCGAGAUGCUGCCUUUGCCGCCGCAACGUUCUCCAACAUCCCAGCCACAGCAGCAUCGAGGUCGGCCACUGGAGCUGGAGGGAUGAGGCCCAGCGGCGUUGGAUGGGGUUGGUGGUCGGGGGUCCCAAGCUUGCCUCCAUCAAACUGGGAAGAAGCCCCUCUUCGCGGACCAAGCUUGGGAAGCAACACAUCAACUAAAUUAGAUUAGAUUAUUUUGUGUGAAAAAAAAGGAAUCCUAAAAAAAACACCACAUUAAAGAGGAGAAACACUCCUACAGGUGAA